AAUCGGUGUGGAUGUUGAAAUCAAAAACGGGAUCGGUCCUGUGAUUGAUCAGCCAAUCCGGUCUCUGGCGGACA
This 74-nucleotide transfer RNA is filed under the name Bacillus subtilis subsp. subtilis str. BSP1. RNAcentral's name for it is "tRNA-Gly". The record is from RNAcentral. Lineage: Bacteria; Bacillati; Bacillota; Bacilli; Caryophanales; Bacillaceae.